This 200-nucleotide ribosomal RNA is filed under the name uncultured prokaryote. Its description in RNAcentral is "partial 16S ribosomal RNA". It matches the Rfam family "Bacterial small subunit ribosomal RNA", at positions 1183 to 1382 of the family's 1533-position model. The record is from RNAcentral.
CGUCAAAUCAUCAUGCCCCUUAUGUCUUGGGCUACACACGUGCUACAAUGAACGGUACAAAGGGCAGCGACCCCGCAAGGGCGAGCGAAUCUCAGAAAGCCGUUCCCAGUUCGGAUUGUGGGCUGCAACCCGCCCGCAUGAAGUCGGAGUUGCUAGUAAUCGCGAAUCAGCAUGUCGCGGUGAAUGCGUUCCCGGGCCUU